ACACGUUUCCGUUUCAUACAG
RNAcentral lists this small nuclear RNA (21 nucleotides) under Arabidopsis thaliana (thale cress). Its description in RNAcentral is "snRNA_09147". The record is from RNAcentral. Lineage: Eukaryota; Viridiplantae; Streptophyta; Magnoliopsida; Brassicales; Brassicaceae.